This 467-nucleotide ribosomal RNA is filed under the name uncultured bacterium. Its description in RNAcentral is "partial 16S ribosomal RNA". It matches the Rfam family "Bacterial small subunit ribosomal RNA", at positions 28 to 506 of the family's 1533-position model. The record is from RNAcentral.
GACGAACGCUGGCGGCGUGCUUAACACAUGCAAGUCGAACGGAAAGGCCCUGCUUUUGUGGGGUGCUCGAGUGGCGAACGGGUGAGUAACACGUGAGUAACCUGCCCUUGACUUUGGGAUAACUUCAGGAAACUGGGGCUAAUACCGGAUAGGAGCUCCUGCUGCAUGGUGGGGGUUGGAAAGUUUCGGCGGUUGGGGAUGGACUCGCGGCUUAUCAGCUUGUUGGUGGGGUAGUGGCUUACCAAGGCUUUGACGGGUAGCCGGCCUGAGAGGGUGACCGGCCACAUGGGGCCGGAGAUCCGGCCCAGACUCCUCUGGGAGGCAGCAGUGGGGAAUAUGGCACAAGGGGCGGAAGCCUGAUGAAGCAACGCCGGGUGCGGGAGGACGGCCUUCGGGUUGGAAACCGCUUUCGCCUGUGACGAAGCGUGAGUGACGGUAAUGGGUAAAGAAGCACCGGCUAACUCCGU